UUCCGGUUGAUCCCGCCGGACCUGACUGCUAUCGGAUUGAUACUAAGCCAUGCGAGUCUUUGCAGUAAUGCAAGGCAUACGGCUCAGUAACACGUAGUCAACUUACCCUAUGGACGAGGAUAAUCUCGGGAAACUGAGCAUAAUACUCGAUAGAUCAUAAUGCCUGGAAUGGUUUAUGGUUGAAAUGAUUCGUCGCCAUAGGAUGGGACUGCGGCCUAUCAGCUUGUUGGUGAGGUAAUGGCCCACCAAGGCGAUUACAGGUACGGGCUCUGAGAGGAGGAGCCCGGAGAUGGGUACUGAGACAAGGACCCAGGCCCUAUGGGGCGCAGCAGGCGAGAAAACUUUGCAAUGUGCGAAAGCACGACAAGGUUAAUCCGAGUGAUUUCUGCUAAAGAAAUCUUUUGCAAGUCAUAAAACCACUAGUGAAUAAGGGGUGGGCAAGUUCUGGUGUCAGCCGCCGCGGUAAAACCAGCACCUCAAGUGGUCAGGAGGAUUAUUGGGCCUAAAGCAUCCGUAGCCGGCUCUGUAAGUUUUCGGUUAAAUCCAUGUGCUCAACGCAUGGGCUGCCGAAAAUACUGCAUAGCUAGGGAGUGGGAGAGGUAGACGGUACUCGGUAGGAAGGGGUAAAAUCCUUUGAUCUAUCGAUGACCACCUGUGGCGAAGGCGGUCUACCAGAACACGUUCGACGGUGAGGGAUGGAAGCUGGGGGAGCAAACCGGAUUAGAUACCCGGGUAGUCCCAGCUGUAAACGAUGCAGACUCGAUGAUGCAUUGGCAUAUAGCCAGUGCAGUGUCGCAGGGAAGCCGUUAAGUCUGCCGCCUGGGAAGUACGUACGCAAGUAUGAAACUUAAAGGAAUUGGCGGGGGAGCACCACAAGGGGUGAAGCCUGCGGUUCAAUUGGAAUCAACGCCGGA
This 914-nucleotide ribosomal RNA is filed under the name uncultured archaeon. RNAcentral's name for it is "bacterial SSU rRNA". It matches the Rfam family "Archaeal small subunit ribosomal RNA", at positions 1 to 922 of the family's 1478-position model. The record is from RNAcentral.